GGGGCUGACAAAGCUUAGACGGAUUAUUAACAGAUACUUUGCACGACGAUUGAUACCGUAAGUAUUAAAUAAAUGAAGAAAAAACUUCGAAGCAUGUGUUUUUUGCACCUGUUUAUGCUUAAGGAUUAAUUUAAGCUGACUUUCUGACUGAGGUUUCAUAGGGAGGAAAGUUAUCAUAGAAAAAGUAUGAGACUAGGGUCUAUUGUGUGACGACGUGGAUCUGAAGAUUUGUCAUGGCGAACAAUAGUUUCCGUUUUUCAUUCUAUUGUUCAUUUGCUAAGCGAUAUGGAAAACUAUGCGUGUAGAAGGGUAUUAUGGAGAUUUUUCGGACCCGGAGGCAGUAUCCGGCAGCUCCACCA
RNAcentral lists this transfer-messenger RNA (359 nucleotides) under Candidatus Saccharimonadota bacterium. It matches the Rfam family "transfer-messenger RNA". Rfam says of the family: Bacterial tmRNA, also known as 10Sa RNA or SsrA, is named for its dual tRNA and mRNA-like properties. Its role is to liberate the mRNA from a stalled ribosome. The record is from RNAcentral. Lineage: Bacteria; Candidatus Saccharimonadota.